AUUGGCUGACAAAUCCCAAAUAGGAUGAAACGCGCGUCCUGGAU
RNAcentral lists this non-coding RNA (44 nucleotides) under Schistosoma curassoni. The record is from RNAcentral. Lineage: Eukaryota; Metazoa; Platyhelminthes; Trematoda; Strigeidida; Schistosomatidae.